AUGGGGAGAGGUCUUAACUGGGGUCUCUUAGCAGCGUUUGACAAUCAGCAGUGUCCGGCUUCCCAGGAUAAGGAAGAUCUGGUGGCGAAAAGGACUUCGGAAGAGCGCGCCUCCGGUGCUAAUCAGCAGAGCGGGGAGAUCAAGAAACCCAGACCUGCACUCUUCCAGGCCCUCUUUCUAGGGCGGCAGAGCCUGGCUGGUGGGGUGGCUGUCAGCUGUCUCCGUGGGAAGACCUUCCAGCCUGGCCAUCAGGUCUUUGGAGUUCAUCUGCCCUAUUCUUUCCCUUCGAAUGUAAUUCUACGCUGGUUGUAA
RNAcentral lists this long non-coding RNA (312 nucleotides) under Macaca mulatta (Rhesus monkey). RNAcentral describes it as "lncRNA (ENSMMUG00000062172.1)". The record is from RNAcentral. Lineage: Eukaryota; Metazoa; Chordata; Mammalia; Primates; Cercopithecidae.